AUUCCCUGGGGCUCCUGUUAAAAUGCAGAUUCUGAUUCAGUAGCUCUAAGGUGGGCCCUGAGAUUCUGCAUUUCUAACAAGCUCCCAGGCAAUGCCGU
RNAcentral lists this microRNA precursor (98 nucleotides) under Camelus bactrianus (Bactrian camel). Its description in RNAcentral is "mir-544 microRNA precursor family". It matches the Rfam family "mir-544 microRNA precursor family". The record is from Rfam by way of RNAcentral. RNAcentral also lists the same sequence under 3 other names. Lineage: Eukaryota; Metazoa; Chordata; Mammalia; Artiodactyla; Camelidae.